UACUGGGGGGGCAAGCGUUGUUCGGAAUUACUGGGCGUAAAGGGCUCGUAGGUUGCCAACUAAGUCAGACGUGAAAUCCCUCAGCUUAACUGGGGAACUGCGUCUGAUACUGGAUGGCUUGAGUUUGGGAGAGGGAUGCGGAAUUCCAGGUGUAGCGGUGAAAUGCGUAGAUAUCUGGAGGAAUACCGGUGGCGAAGGCAGGUCUCUGGGCUGACACUGACGCUCAUGCACGAAAGCGUGGGGAGCAAACAGG
This 253-nucleotide ribosomal RNA is filed under the name uncultured bacterium. RNAcentral's name for it is "partial 16S ribosomal RNA". It matches the Rfam family "Bacterial small subunit ribosomal RNA", at positions 524 to 776 of the family's 1533-position model. The record is from RNAcentral.